Molecule: ribosomal RNA, 683 nt
Filed under: uncultured ciliate
Lineage: Eukaryota; Ciliophora
Description: bacterial SSU rRNA
Rfam family: Eukaryotic small subunit ribosomal RNA
Source: RNAcentral
UUGGAUGGUAGUGUAUUGGACUACCAUGGCAAUCACGGGUAACAGAGAAUUAGGGUUCGAUUCCGGAGAGGGAGCCUGAGAAACGGCUACCACAUCUAAGGAAGGCAGCAGGCGCGUAAAUUACCCAAUCCUGACUCAGGGAGGUAGUGACAAGAAAUAACAACUCGGGGUUCUUUGAACUUACGAGAUUGCAAUGAGAACAAUUUAAAACACUUAGCGAGUACCAAUUGGAGGGCAAGUCUGGUGCCAGCAGCCGCGGUAAUUCCAGCUCCAAUAGCGUAUAUUAAAGUUGUUGCAGUUAAAAAGCUCGUAGUUGAAUUUCUGGUCGGAUCUGUGGAGCCUUAUGGGCAAAGCAGAAUUUCUAGAUCAUCCUCCUGGGAACCAUAUACGAGUCUAACCGCUCGAUAUGGGAAACGGGAAUUUUACCUUGAAAAAAUUAGAGUGUUUCAGGCAGGCUUAAGCCCGAAUACAUUAGCAUGGAAUAAUGGAAUAGGACUGAAUCCAUUUUGUUGGUUAUUGGAUUUAGUAAUGAUUAAUAGGGACAGUUGGGGGCAUUAGUAUUUAAUUGUCAGAGGUGAAAUCCUUGGAUUUAUUAAAGACUAACUAAUGCGAAGGCAUUUGCCAAGGAUGUUUUCAUUAAUCAAGAACGAAAGUUAGGGGAUCAAAGACGAUCAGAUACCGUC